CCAAGGAGUCUAACAUGUGCGCGAGUCACUCGGUCUUGUUUAGGCCAGAGAGGCGCAAUGAAAGUAAAUUUGCUAAGUUACGAUCCGUAUGCCUGGUCAUUCCUUCAGUGGGUGACGGUACGGCGCAGUAACAGCCCGCCAAUUCCGUUUAUCAACGGUAUGGCGGAGUUGUAGCGUACACGUUGGUACCCGAAAGAUGGUGAACUAUGCUUGGGCAAGACGAAGCCAGAGGAAACUCUGGUGGAGGUCUGUAGCGAUUCUGACGUGCAAAUCGAUCGUCAGACCUGAGUAUAGGGGCGAAAGACUAAUCGAACCAUC
This 318-nucleotide ribosomal RNA is filed under the name Paraleius sp. 6 SS-2020. RNAcentral describes it as "partial large subunit ribosomal RNA". It matches the Rfam family "Eukaryotic large subunit ribosomal RNA", at positions 666 to 944 of the family's 3401-position model. The record is from RNAcentral. Lineage: Eukaryota; Metazoa; Arthropoda; Arachnida; Sarcoptiformes; Scheloribatidae.